GACGAACGCUGGCGGCGUGCUUAACACAUGCAAGUCGAACGGAAAGGCCCUGCUUUUGUGGGGUGCUCGAGUGGCGAACGGGUGAGUAACACGUGAGUAACCAGCCCUUGACUUUGGGAUAACUUCAGGAAACUGGGGCUAAUACCGGAUAGGAGCUCCUGCUGCAUGGUGGGGGUUGGAAAGUUUCGGCGGUUGGGGAUGGACUCGCGGCUUAUCAGCUUGUUGGUGGGGUAGUGGCUUACCAAGGCUUUGACGGGUAGCCGGCCUGAGAGGGUGACCGGCCACAUUGGGACUGAGAUACGGCCCAGACUCCUACGGGAGGCAGCAGUGGGGAAUAUUGCACAAUGGGCGGAAGCCUGAUGCAGCAACGCCGCGUGCGGGAUGACGGCCUUCGGGUUGUAAACCGCUUUCGCCUGUGACGAAGCGUGAGUGACGGUAAUGGGUAAAGAAGCACCGGCUAACUACGUGCCAGCAGCCGCGGUGAUACGUAGGGUGCGAGCGUUGUCCGGAUUUAUUGGGCGUAAAGGGCUCGUAGGUGGUUGAUCGCGUCGGAAGUGUAAUCUUGGGGCUUAACCCUGAGCGUGCUUUCGAUACGGGUUGACUUGAGGAAGGUAGGGGAGAAUGGAAUUCCUGGUGGAGCGGUGGAAUGCGCAGAUAUCAGGAGGAACACCAGUGGCGAAGGCGGUUCUCUGGGCCUUUCCUGACGCUGAGGAGCGAAAGCGUGGGGAGCGAACAGGCUUAGAUACCCUGGUAGUCCACGCUGUAAACGGUGGGUACUAGGUGUGGGGUCCAUUCCACGGGUUCCGUGCCGUAGCUAACGCUUUAAGUACCCCGCCUGGGGAGUACGGCCGCAAGGCUAAAACUCAAAGGAAUUGGCGGGGCCCCGCACAAGCGGCGGAGCAUGCGGAUUAAUUCGAUGCAACGCGUAGAACCUUACCUGGGUUCGACAUGGAUCGGGAGCGCUCAGAGAUGGGUGUGCCUCUUUUGGGGUCGGUCCACAGGUGGUGCAUGGCUGUCGUCAGCCCGUGUCGUGAGAUGUUGGGUUAAGUCCCGCAACGAGCGCAACCCUUGUUCACUGUUGCCAGCACGUUAUGGUGGGGACUCAGUGGAGACCGCCGGGGUCAACUCGGAGGAAGGUGGGGAUGACGUCAAGUCAUCAUGCCCCUUAUGUCCAGGGCUUCACGCAUGCUACAAUGGCUGGUACAGAGAGUGGCGAGCCUGUGAGGGUGAGCGAAUCUCGGAAAGCCGGUCUCAGUUCGGAUUGGGGUCUGCAACUCGACCUCAUGAAGUCGGAGUCGCUAGUAAUCGCAGAUCAGCAACGCUGCGGUGAAUACGUUCCCGGGGCU
Molecule: ribosomal RNA, 1346 nt
Filed under: uncultured bacterium
Lineage: Bacteria
Description: bacterial SSU rRNA
Rfam family: Bacterial small subunit ribosomal RNA
Source: RNAcentral